AACGAACGCUGGCGGCAUGCCUAACACAUGCAAGUCGAACGAGACCUUCGGGUUUAGUGGCGCACGGGUGCGUAACGCGUGGGAACCUGCCCUUAGGUUCGGACUAACUCCCCGAAAGGGGUGCUAAUACCGGAUAAUGUCUUCGGACCAAAGAUUUAUCGCCUUUGGAUGGGUCCGCGUUGGAUUAGCUAGUUGGUAGGGUAAAAGCCUACCAAGGCGCCGUUCCAUAGCUGGUCUGUGAGGAUGAUCAGCCACACUGGGACUGAGACACGGCCCAGACUCCUACGGGAGGCAGCAGUGGGGAAUAUUGGACAAUGGGCGAAAGCCUAAUCCAGCAAUGCCGCGUGAGUGAUGAAGGCCUUAGGGUUGUAAAGCUCUUUUACCCGGGAUGAUAAUGACAGUACCGGGAGAAUAAGCUCCGGCUAACUCCGUG
This 433-nucleotide ribosomal RNA is filed under the name uncultured bacterium. RNAcentral's name for it is "partial 16S ribosomal RNA". It matches the Rfam family "Bacterial small subunit ribosomal RNA", at positions 29 to 507 of the family's 1533-position model. The record is from RNAcentral.